This 265-nucleotide unclassified non-coding RNA is filed under the name plant metagenome. RNAcentral's name for it is "partial contains small subunit ribosomal RNA and internal transcribed spacer 1". The stretch from base 1 to 46 matches the Rfam family "Eukaryotic small subunit ribosomal RNA", at positions 1786 to 1831 of the family's 1831-position model. The record is from RNAcentral.
AAGUCGUAACAAGGUUUCCGUAGGUGAACCUGCGGAAGGAUCAUUACAAAUAAAGCUGGUAGGAAGUGGGGUCUCGAUCUGUAAGUGGUAGAGCGAACAGUCCGGCUGCCUCCGAAAUGUCUUACAUGUCCCCACAGCCUGCAGGCCAGCAAUAUCAACCACUUGAUUAUCUACACUUGUUGCUUUGGGUGCUCAAGUAGCCCCAGAGGCAACCCAACCUCAUCUUGCAUUUAGUGACGUCUGAGUACUAUAUAAUAUUUAAAAC